This 497-nucleotide ribosomal RNA is filed under the name uncultured bacterium. Its description in RNAcentral is "partial 16S ribosomal RNA". It matches the Rfam family "Bacterial small subunit ribosomal RNA", at positions 28 to 507 of the family's 1533-position model. The record is from RNAcentral.
GAUGAACGCUGGCGGCGUGCCUAAUACAUGCAAGUCGAGCGAACAGACGAGGAGCUUGCUCCUCUGACGUUAGCGGCGGACGGGUGAGUAACACGUGGAUAACCUACCUAUAAGACUGGGAUAACUUCGGGAAACCGUAGCUAAUACCGGAUAAUAUAUUGAACCGCAUGGUUCAAUAGUGAAAGACGGUUUUGCUGUCACUUAUAGAUGGAUCCGCGCCGCAUUAGCUAGUUGGUAAGGUAACGUCUUACCAAGGCAACGAUGCGUAGCCGACCUGAGAGGGUGAUCGGCCACACUGGAACUGAGACACGGUCCAGACUCCUACGGGAGGCAGCAGUAGGGAAUCUUCCGCAAAGGGCGAAAGCUUGACGGAGCAACGCCGCGUGAGUGAUGAAGGUCUUCGGAUCGUAAAACUCUGUUAUUAGGGAAGAACAAAUGUGUAAGUAACUAUGCACGUCUUGACGGUACCUAAUCAGAAAGCCACGGCUAACUACGUG